AUGUGGGAGGUGAAGUACAAACAAGCAAAAUACUUGUGGGAAUCAUACACAUCAGGCAGGAAGCAGGUUUAUUUCAUCAUAUUACACCAGUAUCCAGUGAGGCUGACAUGUUGGAUAGGCCCCAGCCACAAGCUUCAGCAGUUGAGCUCACAUAACAUAUUUAUUUACAUCUUUUCAGGCGGCCGGCUUGAAGUCCUGGAGCUGCUUGAAGUUCUCCCAGGCCUUCUCCCACACCUUGGCCUCGUAGAGCUUCUUGGCGCCGCCCUCCUUGACCUCGAUGGUGAAGUAGUGCAUGCACCCGGCCACCACCUGCUGCCUCACCUUCACCAGCCUCUCGAACUCCAGCAGCGCGUUCUGCGCCCAGCAAAAUUCACCACCGAUCCAGCAGGUUAA
Molecule: ribosomal RNA, 393 nt
Filed under: Triticum aestivum (bread wheat)
Lineage: Eukaryota; Viridiplantae; Streptophyta; Magnoliopsida; Poales; Poaceae
Description: partial small subunit ribosomal RNA
Source: RNAcentral